AGAGACAGCAGUAGCCGCGGGAAUACGAAGGGGGCUAGCGUUGCUCGGAUUGAUUGGGUGUAAAGGGUGUGCAGACGACUUAUUAAGUCACUUGUUAAAUUCUUCGGCCUAACUGAAGGUCUGCAAGUGAUACUGAUGAGCUAGAGGGUGGAAGAGAGAAGUGGAAUUCUCGGAGUAGCGGUAAAAUGCGUAGAUCUCGAGAGGAACACCAAUGGCGAAGGCAGCUUCUUGGUCCAUUCCUGACGUUCAUACACGAAAGCGUGGGGAGCAAACAGGAUUAGAUACCCCCGUAGUCCCUGUCUCUUAUAC
Molecule: ribosomal RNA, 309 nt
Filed under: uncultured bacterium
Lineage: Bacteria
Description: partial 16S ribosomal RNA
Rfam family: Bacterial small subunit ribosomal RNA
Source: RNAcentral